UAUAUAUAUAUAUAUAUAUUAAAUUGGUUCAAACCAAAUUAUGUUCACCCAUAUUUAUAUGUGUGACCAAGCAAAGAUUAUGAAGUGUUGUAUUUUUUAUCCAUAUUUUUCUUUCCAUAUUAAUGUUUCAUCCACAGGCACCUCAAGGGUACACCUUUCUUUUGCUUGAUUCUUCUAGUAUCUAAGGAUAUUUCACGGUUUGUUUCUCUUGGGGAAAGAAACUUUUUAAAAGUAGGUGUCUAUUAUAGGGAGAAAAAAAUAGCAACUUGUUGUCGAUCUGAUGAUUUUCUUUUUGUAAGAAAAUGAUGGUGUUAGAACAGAGAAUGUAAACAUUUGAUGACCAUGAAUCCAUGAUUUUUUUCAAAAUUGCUACCUUGUGUCACAGAGGAAAACCUGAUAUUUGCAAGCUGGAAAUUUUUUUGUAUAGAAAUUAGGGGAAAAAAGUUUAUUUCCAAACCUGCAAUGUUGGAAACCCCUUGCAUUGUGACAACCUAAUAUCUUUUUUCUUUUUAAAUACAUCAACAGAAUUAUGAAUUUUUUUUCUACUUGCUUUCCUUUGUGAGCUUCUUUUUACUGUCUGACUCUGUCUUGAAUACUAUCUGGUUUUUUUGCAGGGAAAACAAAAAUCUCACAGG
RNAcentral lists this unclassified non-coding RNA (635 nucleotides) under Hevea brasiliensis (rubber tree). The record is from RNAcentral. Lineage: Eukaryota; Viridiplantae; Streptophyta; Magnoliopsida; Malpighiales; Euphorbiaceae.